RNAcentral lists this ribosomal RNA (228 nucleotides) under Triticum aestivum (bread wheat). Its description in RNAcentral is "partial small subunit ribosomal RNA". The record is from RNAcentral. Lineage: Eukaryota; Viridiplantae; Streptophyta; Magnoliopsida; Poales; Poaceae.
AUGGACCAAUCCAUCCCUUUUUCUCGUGCAUAUGCAUCGGACUCCGAUGACGAUGGUCUCGAUGAAGAAGUUGAUGAGGAGGGGUUCACGCCCAAGGAGGCCCAAGCAUUUAAGAAGGUAUUCGGGCGGGAUCACAAGACACCAUUGUUCAAGGAUCUUAGUCUCGCAGAUGAAGCUGUUGUAGAUGGUGGCAAAUGUAUAUCUCUUGGAGCUAGGCCAAGUUCUCAC